Molecule: transfer RNA, 66 nt
Filed under: uncultured Eubacterium sp.
Lineage: Bacteria; Bacillati; Bacillota; Clostridia; Eubacteriales; Eubacteriaceae
Rfam family: tRNA
About the family: Transfer RNA (tRNA) molecules are approximately 80 nucleotides in length.
Source: RNAcentral
CCGGUAGUUCAGUUGGUUAGAACGCCUGCCUGUCACGCAGGAGGUCGACGGUUCGAGUCCGUUCCG